AAACCAGCACCUCAAGUGGUCAGGAGGAUUAUUGGGCCUAAAGCAUCCGUAGCCUGUUCUGUAAGUUUUCGGUUAAAUCCAUUAGCUCAACUAAUGGGCCGCCGAAGAUACUGUAGAACUAGGGAGUGGGAGAGGUAGACGGUAUUCGGUAGGAAGGGGUAAAAUCCUUUGAUCUAUUGAGGACCACCUGUGGCGAAGGCGGUCUACCAGAACACGUUCGACGGUGAGGGAUGAAAGCUGGGAGCAAACCGGAUUAGAAACCCCAGUAGUCC
This 272-nucleotide ribosomal RNA is filed under the name uncultured bacterium. Its description in RNAcentral is "partial 16S ribosomal RNA". It matches the Rfam family "Archaeal small subunit ribosomal RNA", at positions 473 to 747 of the family's 1478-position model. The record is from RNAcentral.